UUCUCUUUCUCUCUCUUCCCCUCUUUCCUCUUUCUACUCUUAAAUUCUCUCAUCCCACAUUCGUCGAUGUUCCUAGAAAUUCACCCAUAUUCAUCGCCAUUCCCAUAAACCUCAAGAACAAAAACCAAAAUUCAAGAAUACCUUCAAACACAACCUAGAAAACCCAUCCAAAUGAACCUAGAAAUUAAAAUACUCAAGAAACUCUUCUCGAGCCUUAAUUCCCACCAACAAAAUCAAGAACUUCACCCAAAAUUAUGAACACAUUCACCCCUCUUAAUAAUUUCCUUCAACCAACAUCCAAUAAUCCUAGAAAAUGAAAUCCAAAAAUCCACCUCUUCAAGAAUCUCACCUUCAACCUUAAUCCAAAACAUCAAAAAUCAAGAACAAUAUCUCAUUCACUACCUCAUUUCUCCACACAAAAUCAUAUUUCACGCCAACUUCAUCAUAAUCCAAAACCUUACCUCAUAUCCUCUUCCAUUUUCUACAAUCGUCAAGUCAAACCAAUUUGGACCAAUCUCUCCUCAACAAAUUUAUUCUCUAUCCAAAAACUCCAGAUCCAAACAUUUUCCCUUCUUCAUCCUUCGAACCCUAACUCUAAAUAUACCCAUAAACUUUGAACCCUAAUCCUCAUCCCUCUCAUCAACUUCAAACCCUAUCUUUUUUUCAUCCUCAUGUAUGAUUCCACCUACUUAGACUUCGGUACAAAUUCCUCAAAUUCAUAUUAUCUCCAUCCCAAUGAAAACCCAUCCACUGUCCUUGUUACGGCCCUUCUCGACCACAAAAAUCACAACUCAUAGUCUCGUGUAAUGAAAGCUGCCCAAUUUCCAAAAAUAAUAUAUGUUUCAUUGAUGAAACUUUUUCUCAACCUCUUAUCAUCACACCCUCUCUGGUCCUUAGCUCCACUGUAAUAACAUGGUCCUCUCCUAACUUCACCAUUCCAUAUCUGACUACAACGUCUAAUCCAUCUCAUGGAUCGAUAUUGCUCAUGAAGUUUAGAAAAUGUUAGGAAAUCAUUUCUCUCAAGGUAACAUUUUUUAAAAUUUUGUCCUUCAAGACAAUCUCACCCACCUUCAUCAGGGUUCUUUAGAUGCUUUACCCACCUCAAAAAGCUGACUUUUGUCUGGGAGAAAAUUGAUUUUCUCCGACCCACUUGAGAUUUUGCAUGUGUUAUACCUUACACAUGUGGAGUUGCAUCUGGUCUUCGAAAGUACAAAACUCAAGAUCGUAUAAUCAAAUUCCUAAAUGGUCUCAAUGAACCAUUCUCCAUAGUUCAGUCUCAAAUCCUUCUGCUCGACCCCUUUCCUUCUCUUGACAAGGUUUAAUUAAUGGUCAUUGGCUUGGAAUGAUGUUCAUAUACUCUUUCUCUCUUUUAUAAUCCCACCAUGGCUAUGCAUUUUUAACCCAUUCCCACUAUUGGGAGAGCUCGUGGUGCCAACUCUUAUUGUGGUAGAGGUCGCUCUAAUACUAGAUGUGGAUCUUCCUCUCAACGAGUUUGCACUCAUUGUGGAUGCACAAAUCAUGCUAUGAAGACUUAUCUCAUGAAGCACGAUUAUCCACCAGGUUAUAAUUAAAAAAGCACAAAAGCUUAUAUCAAUAACACCAUUGAUUCCACUCCUAUUGACGUUUCUUCAAAUUUUCCUCAAAACUCUUAGAACUCUCUAGUUGCUAUCCAAGAUCAAUAUAAAUGAUAUCCUUCAACUUCUUCACCAACGAGUAUCUUCUCCUUCUCCUGAUGUGUCUGAUACUUCCCUUAUCCACAUUAACUCUGGCUCCACCUCCGUGGAUGGUAAGCCACAUAAGAACUCCAAUAAAGUGAUUGGUUCAGCUGGUAGACAUGGGGACCUAUAUGUUCUUCAAGCUCAGGUCAUAUAUUUUUCCCCUUUGCCAUUUCACUUGUUAUUAUGUUCAAUUAGUUUCUUUUAGUCUUUGGAAUGGAUGAUUAGGGCAUCCCUCUAAUUCAAUUCAUAAAACUUUAUCUUCUAUUUUCCUAACAUCACUCAUAGCAUUAAAAAAGAUUUUUCUUGUCACUUUUGUCACUUAGCUAAGCACAAACAUUUACCAUAUUAUGAUAGUAUUAACAUUACUUCUAAUGGCUUUACUCUUUUACAUGUUGGCAUUUGCGGACCCUACUCAAUCCCUUUUGUCAUUAAUAAGAGAUAUUUUCUAAUCGUUUUUUAUGAAUAUACUUGAUUUACUUGGGUUACUUUUAUGACCCAUAAGAGUGAAACUAGAAAUCAUUUACUUAAUUUCAUUUCAUUUAUAAACACCCAGUUUUCUUCCAAGUUAAAAUGUAUUCUCAUAGACAGUGGAAAAAAAAAUUAAUAACUCCCAAGGAAUCUUACAUCAUAGAUCAUGUGUGGAAUGCCCUAAAAAAUAUCAUUAUUGGAAGGAAACGUCAACACAUCCUCAAUGUCUCAAGAUCCCUGUUCUUUCAAGAAAACAUUGUUGGUGUAAGUCCUAGAGGCCAAUACUUUUGGUACUUACAUCGAAUUAUUUAUUAAUAAUAAAAGGUUUUUUCUUUAUUAUGUUUAUUUAAUAAAGUCACUAGAAUAGCUAGCCCAUUUAAUGAAUCAAGUGUGACUUAAUCAUGAGAUCCCAUUAAACAUAAGGACAUUAUUCUUAAAGCAUCUGUAGUCGAGCUUUGUUUUAAAGUGGGAUAAUAUUAAAGCAUUAAGACUAUUAUGUAUAUAGACUGAUGAUCACGUCUCAUGGAUCAUGGAUAAGGAGUUAUCAAGUCUUAAACAUAGGUAUUAAUAUUAAGAGUAAUAUUUAUACUGGAUUGACCCACUAUGAGAAUACUAUAUAAAAUGUUAUGCAAAGUGUCAUAAGUUAUUCUCAUGGUGAUAGUGGUGUAUACCACCCUUCGAUCUAAAACCACUAUGGACCCUAGAUGUUGAGUCGAGUGCCUUAUUGCUGAUCAAACAUUGUUCGUAACUGGAUGACCAUAAAGACAGUUGAUGGGUAAUCCACGAAGCAUGAUGAGGGACAUGAGUGACCUAGAUGGAAUUUGCCCAUCCUGCGUAACAGAAUAAAUGUCUAAGGGCCCAAUAUUGAACUGGACAAGGAUUACAAGGUCUAUGCCUUGUGUUCAAUAUAGACAUAAGGAUAAAUGAGUAAUUGUACACAUAAGUAUUAGCACAAAAGAUUUGUCAGAUCAUAUGACAUUUUCGUGUCUCAGGUAGAACUGAUGUGUUGCUAGAUACCGCUCACUGUUUAUUAUGUUAAAUACAUGAUUUAAUAUAAUUACCAAUGUCGCGAGAACCUACAGGGUCACACACAAAAGGACGGAUUGAUGAGAGAUAAAUUAAAUAAGGAACACCGUAAGAUACAAUGCACUUAAGUGAAUUGUAGAACAUCGUAAGGUACGGUGCACUUAAGUAGAAUACGAAAUAUGGUAAGAUACCACAUGCUUAAGUGAUUUUGGUAUAUCAUAAGAUAUGCGCCACAUACACUUAAGUGGGCUUUUUAGCUUACAACCCGCACAAGUGGUUCUAUAAAUAGAACCCUUGUGUAGAAGCAUUUGUGUACAUGAAAUUUCGUUUCUCUCUCUCUCUCUCUCUCACACACACACACACACACACACACACACACUCAAAGACUUCAUUCGUAGCAGCUAGCACUGAGAUUGAAGGAAUCCGUUCGUGUGGAUUGAGUAGAGGCGUUGUCACCAUUCAACGUUCGUGAUCACUCCUUAGAUCUACAUCAAAGGUUUCAAUCACCACAAGAGGUAACGAUUCUAUCACUGAUCAUGCCCAUUCGUAAGGAUCACUAAAGGAUAAUUUUUUUUAUUUUUGUUACGUUUUGGAUCGCCAUUCGUAAGGAACCACUGUCCGCUAACCGUGCAGCAAGACCCACGACUAACUUUGCGUAGUGUGAUCGGUUGCUGAAAUUUAAUUUGGUUUAUUUAAUUAACAGAAUUUAAAUUAAUAAUAAUAAUAUGUUUAUUAUUAUUGUCUUGUGGUGAUUGGUUAUGGCCUUAGAUUUCCUUUAUUUUGUUUUGGGAUUUUAAAAUACGACCUGCAUGUCGUGCCUCUCUUUUAAUCUCUUAAUGUAAAUUCUUUUCUCAUCUCACUCCCUCGUAUGUAAAACGAGUUUCUUUUAUGUAAUGUAAUGUUAUGAAUAAAGAGAAGAAUACAAUAUCAAAGGAGGAUAACCUUGAAGAUCUUGCUUGGAGAAGCUUAAAUUGUUAUUAGGUUAGCUUAGGUUCUCUCAUUGGCUUAGGAGAACAAUUGCGCUAGGGGCCAUAACUGUUUCAUUUUGUAUGUAUGUUGAUGCAUGUGAAUGCAUGUUGAUGCAUGUGGGAGACGAUUUAUAUGAUAAAUAAGCCGGUGAGAUCAGAAUAA
This is a long non-coding RNA of Lathyrus oleraceus (garden pea), 4343 nucleotides long. RefSeq lists it as uncharacterized. NCBI's taxonomy places the organism in Eukaryota, Viridiplantae, Streptophyta, Magnoliopsida, Fabales, Fabaceae. The record is from RefSeq and is a predicted model, not a curated record. The transcript has 2 exons.